GGCUCUGGUGGUCUAGUGGUUAGAGCAUCUGCCUCGGAUAUGGGAGGUCAUGGGAUCAAUCCCCAGUCAAGUCA
Non-coding RNA from Potamilus streckersoni, 74 nucleotides. The record is from the annotation of a GenBank genome assembly. NCBI's taxonomy places the organism in Eukaryota, Metazoa, Mollusca, Bivalvia, Unionida, Unionidae.